RNAcentral lists this transfer RNA (95 nucleotides) under Trametes cinnabarina. RNAcentral's name for it is "Pycnoporus cinnabarinus tRNA". It matches the Rfam family "tRNA". From Rfam's summary of the family: Transfer RNA (tRNA) molecules are approximately 80 nucleotides in length. Their secondary structure includes four short double-helical elements and three loops (D, anti-codon, and T loops). The record is from Rfam by way of RNAcentral. Lineage: Eukaryota; Fungi; Basidiomycota; Agaricomycetes; Polyporales; Polyporaceae.
GGCAGUGUAGCCAAGUGGUUACGGCGUCACGUUUAGGUCUUCUAGGCAUUCACCGUGAUGGGUUUCCCGCGCGAGUUCGAAUCUCGUCACUGUCA